Molecule: ribosomal RNA, 484 nt
Filed under: uncultured bacterium
Lineage: Bacteria
Description: partial 16S ribosomal RNA
Rfam family: Bacterial small subunit ribosomal RNA
Source: RNAcentral
AUUGAACGCUGGCGGCAGGCCUAACACAUGCAAGUCGAGCGGAUGAAUGGAGCUUGCUCCUGGAUUCAGCGGCGGACGGGUGUGUAAUGCCUAGGAAUCUGCCUGGUAGGGGGGGAUAACGUCCGGAAACGGGCGCUAAUACCGCAUACGUCCUGAGGGAGAAAGUGGGUGAUCUUCGGACCUCACGCUAUCAGAUGAGCCUAGGUCGGAUUAGCUAGUUGGUGGGGUAAAGGCCUACCAAGGCGACGAUCCGUAACUGGUCUGAGAGGAUGAUCAGGCACACUGGAACUGAGACACGGUCCAGACUACUAAGGGAGGCAGCAGUGGGGAAUAUUGGACAAUGGGCGAAAGCCUGAUCCAGCCAUGCCGCGUGUGUGAAGAAGGUCUUCGGAUUGUAAAGCACUUUAAGUUGGGAGGAAGGGCAGUAAGUUCAUACCUUGCUGUUUUGACGGUACCAACAGAAUAAGCACCGGCUAACUUCGUG